RNAcentral lists this ribosomal RNA (254 nucleotides) under uncultured bacterium. RNAcentral describes it as "partial 16S ribosomal RNA". It matches the Rfam family "Bacterial small subunit ribosomal RNA", at positions 524 to 776 of the family's 1533-position model. The record is from RNAcentral.
UACGGGGGAUGCAAGCGUUAUCCGGAUUUAUUGGGUUUAAAGGGUGCGUAGGCUGUGAGGUAAGUCAGCGGUGAAAUGCCCCCGCUCAACGGGGUGAAGUGCCAUUGAUACUGCCUUGCUGGAAUGCGGAUGCCGUGGGAGGAAUGUGUGGUGUAGCGGUGAAAUGCAUAGAUAUCACACAGAACACCGAUUGCGAAGGCAUCUCACGAAUCCGCGAUUGACGCUGAUGCACGAAAGCGUGGGCAUCAAACAGG